AUUGAACGCUGGCGGCAGGCCUAACACAUGCAAGUCGAACGGUAGCACAGAGAGCUUGCUCUCGGGUGACGAGUGGCGGACGGGUGAGUAACGUCUGGGAAACUGCCCGAUGGAGGGGGAUAACUACUGGAAACGGUAGCUAAUACCGCAUAACGUCGCAAGACCAAAGUGGGGGACCUUCGGGCCUCACACCAUCGGAUGUGCCCAGAUGGGAUUAGCUAGUAGGUGGGGUAAUGGCUCACCUAGGCGACGAUCCCUAGCUGGUCUGAGAGGAUGACCAGCCACACUGGAACUGAGACACGGUCCAGACUCCUACGGGAGGCAGCAGUGGGGAAUAUUGCACAAUGGGCGCAAGCCUGAUGCAGCCAUGCCGCGUGUAUGAAGAAGGCCUUCGGGUUGUAAAGUACUUUCAGCGGGGAGGAAGGCGGUGAGGUUAAUAACCUUGCCGAUUGACGUUACCCGCAGAAGAAGCACCGGCUAACUCCGUGCCAGCAGCCGCCGCCG
RNAcentral lists this ribosomal RNA (504 nucleotides) under uncultured bacterium. RNAcentral describes it as "partial 16S ribosomal RNA". It matches the Rfam family "Bacterial small subunit ribosomal RNA", at positions 29 to 523 of the family's 1533-position model. The record is from RNAcentral.